This 355-nucleotide ribosomal RNA is filed under the name uncultured bacterium. Its description in RNAcentral is "bacterial SSU rRNA". It matches the Rfam family "Bacterial small subunit ribosomal RNA", at positions 917 to 1267 of the family's 1533-position model. The record is from RNAcentral.
GGACCCGCACAAGUAGUGGAGCAUGUGGUUUAAUUCGAAGAUACGCGCAGAACCUUACCAACACUUGACAUGUUCGUCGCGACUCUAAGAGAUUAGAGUUUUCGGUUCGGCCGGACGAAACACAGGUGCUGCAUGGCUGUCGUCAGCUCGUGUCGUGAGAUGUUGGGUUAAGUCCCGCAACGAGCGCAACCCUCACUUUUAGUUGCCAUCAUUAAGUUGGGCACUCUGAAAGAACUGCCAGUGAUAAGCUGGAGGAAGGUGGGGAUGACGUCAAGUCCUCAUGGCCCUUACGUGUUGGGCUACACACGUGCUACAAUGGUAGGUACAGAGGGAAGCCACCCCCCGCGAGGGGGAG